UAGGAAUCUGCCUGGUAGUGGGGGAUAACGUUCCGAAAGGAACGCUAAUACCGCAUAACGUCCUACGGGAGAAAGCAGGGGACCUUCGGGCCUUGCGCUAUCAGAUGAGCCUAGGUCGGAUUAGCUAGUUGGUGAGGUAAUGGCUCACCAAGGCGACGAUCCGUAGCUGGUCUGAGAGGACGAUCAGCCACACUGGGACUGAGACACGGCCCAGACUCCUACGGGAGGCAGCAGUGGGGAAUUUUGGACAAUGGGGGCAACCCUGAUCCAGCAAUGCCGCGUGUGUGAAGAAGGCCUUCGGGUUGUAAAGCACUUUUGUCCGGAAAGAAAUCGCGCUGGUUAAUACCUGGCGUGGAUGACGGUACCGG
This 368-nucleotide ribosomal RNA is filed under the name uncultured bacterium. RNAcentral describes it as "bacterial SSU rRNA". It matches the Rfam family "Bacterial small subunit ribosomal RNA", at positions 118 to 481 of the family's 1533-position model. The record is from RNAcentral.